AGUUAAUAAAUAACUAAGGAUCGUCAAUAAUGGAUGUAGCCACUUUCAAUAGCCAAAGAUGAAUAAUUAAAUGUAGUUCUCCGUAGUUUUUGUUUGUUUGUAGGAAACUCCCUCUUCACAGCUGUGAUGAAAAUGGCCGGCGGAGCGAGGGUAUGAAUAAAGAAGAGCUGUUCUGUUUAAAAUACAUCCUCCAGCUUUACUUUAUCUGAUCCAUUACAUAGUUUUUUUUUCACAGCCGGAUUCCUGCACACAAUGACGCAGUCACUGCACAUUACGCCGAGACUCGCUGAAAGACCGCAUUUGCAGUACCUGCCUGUACUAUGACGUCCUAAGACCCACUAUGAGCCGGUAUGAAGGAGCUUCCAGUACAACCAACCGGACCUUGCCUCAGCAUUGAGGAGUUCAGGAGACGGCAGAGAAGAAAGAGGCUGAUUGAAGCGGGACAGAUGACAUGGAUCCAUCCUUCCACAGCCAGGAGCUCAACAACCUGUGUGCCACACUUCAAAUAAGACUAGAAGCUACACUGGAUCUCACAGCUACACACCACAGACGUCUACACACCACAGACGUCUACACACUGGGGCAGAUUCGGACAGAGUCCCACAAAGAACAUAUGACCCAGAGGCUGCAAAGAGACAUUUCAAGCUUCACCUGAUUAGCUUUUCACUGGCUAGGCCAGUCGUGUUUGUACAAUAUUUGUGCUGUAUGUAAAUAAAGC
Molecule: long non-coding RNA, 718 nt
Organism: Pleuronectes platessa (European plaice)
Lineage: Eukaryota; Metazoa; Chordata; Actinopteri; Pleuronectiformes; Pleuronectidae
Exons: 3
Source: RefSeq, a predicted model, not a curated record